This 125-nucleotide ribosomal RNA is filed under the name Pantoea sp. B_2. RNAcentral describes it as "partial 16S ribosomal RNA". It matches the Rfam family "Bacterial small subunit ribosomal RNA", at positions 1 to 120 of the family's 1533-position model. The record is from RNAcentral. RNAcentral also lists the same sequence under 21 other names. Lineage: Bacteria; Pseudomonadati; Pseudomonadota; Gammaproteobacteria; Enterobacterales; Erwiniaceae.
AAAUUGAAGAGUUUGAUCAUGGCUCAGAUUGAACGCUGGCGGCAGGCCUAACACAUGCAAGUCGGACGGUAGCACAGAGAGCUUGCUCUCGGGUGACGAGUGGCGGACGGGUGAGUAAUGUCUGG